GAUGAACGCUGGCGGCGUGCCUAAUACAUGCAAGUCGAGCGAACGGACGAGAAGCUUGCUUCUCUGAUGUUAGCGGCGGACGGGUGAGUAACACGUGGAUAACCUACCUAUAAGACUGGGAUAACUUCGGGAAGCCGGAGCUAAUACCGGAUAAUAUUUUGAACCGCAUGGUUCAAAAGUGAAAGACGGUCUUGCUGUCACUUAUAGAUGGAUCCGCGCUGCAUUAGCUAGUUGGUAAGGUAACGGCUUACCAAGGCAACGAUGCAUAGCCGACCUGAGAGGGUGAUCGGCCACACUGAAACUGAGACGCGGUCCAGACUCCUACGGGAGGCAGCAGUAGGGAAUCUUCCGCAAGGGGCGAAAGCCUGACGGAGCAACGCCGCGUGAGUGAUGAAGGUCUUCGGAUCGUAAAACUCUGUUAUUAGGGAAGAACAUAUGUGUAAGUAACUGUGCACAUCGUGACGGUACCUAAUCAGAAAGCCACGGCUAACUACG
This 495-nucleotide ribosomal RNA is filed under the name uncultured bacterium. RNAcentral describes it as "partial 16S ribosomal RNA". It matches the Rfam family "Bacterial small subunit ribosomal RNA", at positions 28 to 505 of the family's 1533-position model. The record is from RNAcentral.